AUGAGAAACAAACUUGAUUUCCCAGAGGCAGAGGGUAUCUGCUUCCUAGUCAUCACUCUUGACAGAAGCUGUUCGGAAUCGUCUGUCAAGAAGAAUAAGAAUUCUUCUUACUUGCUGGACAAGAAGGAAGAGAAGAGAAGACAUUCGAGAUCAAGGUCGCGCUCAAGGAGGAGGAGGACCCCUUCGUCCUCCAAACACAGGCGGUCACGAAGCCGGUCAAGGAGGCGAUCACACUCAAAGACCAGAAGUAGAAGGAGAUCCAAAAGUCCAAGACGGAGACAAUCUCAUUCCAGAGAAAGGGGUAAAAGGUCAAGGAGCACGUCCAAAGCCAGAGACAAAAGGAAAGAAGACAAAGAAAAUAAGCGUUCCAAAGCCCCACCAAAAAGCUACAGUAUAGCCAGACGUUCUCGGAGUGCAAGCAGGAGAGACAUCGGCAACGAAGCAGGAGGGGUACAAGGUCUCCUAAAAAACCCAGGUCUCCUAAAAGAAAACUGACCCGCUCACCAUCCCCACGGAGACAUAAAAAAGAGAAGAAGAAAGAUAAGGACAAAGAACGAAGCAGAGAUGAAAGGGAACCAUCAACAAGUAAAAAGAAGAGGAGCAAAGACAAGGAGAAGGAGCGGGAAAGGAAGUCUGAGAGCGACAAAGACGUCAAACAGGUGACACAGGAUUAUGAUGAAGAGGAGCAGGGCUAUGACAGCGAGAAGGAGAAGAAGGAGGAGAAGAGACCAACAGAAGCAAUGUCCCCUAAAACCAAGGAGUGCUCUGUGGAGAAGGGAAUGGCUGACCUUCGAUAGUCCAAAGUGAACAGGGAUGAUCACCAUGAAGAAGACAUGGAUAUGAGUGAGUGA
This is a non-coding RNA of Myodes glareolus (Bank vole), 851 nucleotides long. The record is from RefSeq and is a predicted model, not a curated record. NCBI's taxonomy places the organism in Eukaryota, Metazoa, Chordata, Mammalia, Rodentia, Cricetidae.